UGAUUGGCUCUGGACUUAGGCAGUAGGAGGAGACUUCCACAAUGGAUGGGACUGCUGGGGACAAAUGUUUACUAAUGCUGUCUGGCUGUGCAGGGAGGGGAAGCAGAGAGGAAAAGACCACAACACACAACAAGAAAUCCUGCAGGUACUUGGCUCUCGGGUUGGGCUAGAUCUCUUGGCUGUACUUCCUCAGUGAUAAUUUCACAUUUCGACACGUUAGCUCAGUGAAAAAAAACAACUAAUGAUUUGCUUUCAAGGACAUUGAGGACCUCAACAUGUAGCUACUUAUGAAGAGACUGGCAUAAGACAUCUCAGGACAACAUCCCAGAAACACUGAGCACCAAUGUCAGAGGAGCACUGUGACAGGAGCACAGGUCACGUGACAUAUCAGGCAUAGCAGGAAGUAAUCGCUGAAUUCUUAUCGUACCACUCUGUACAGUCAGCUGUACAGUUUUACAUUUCAGUCAUUUAGCAGACGCUCUUAGGGUUAAGCGCCUUGCCCAGAGGCACAUUGACCGAUUUUUCAACGACUCGACAGGCCCAACGCUCUUAACCACAAGGCUGCCUGCCACACAGUUCUGACCCCACUGUUUCCUACCACGCGUUCGUGAUCAGAUGCACCAUACCCACACUCCGUCACACUCCAUACCCUCUCACCCACCUAGGAGCCCUUCCAUAGCCUGGGUAGACUCAUCACCAAGGGCACCAUUGGACACUGCACCCUUCAGAAAUGACCGGUACCCAGCUCAUGAACGAUCCCACCACAAACUCUCCGUUCAGCUCUCCCAGCUCCAACUCCAUUCAGCUCCAUUCAGCUGCCAUGACAUCCCCAGUUCCCCCUUUUUCCCGGGCCACCUCAGUCCCCUCGCCUCAACUGCCUCCGGCCCUGUGGCCCCCACUGGACUUUGCCUUAGGAGCGUUGUCGUGCUGCGGGGCCUGUGUGUUCACUAACCCCCUGGAGGUGGUAAAGACACGGCUGCAGCUGCAGGGAGAGCUGCGGGCGCGGGGGUCCUACCGGCAGCACUACCGCGGGGUGCUGCAGGCCCUGUGGGUGGUGGGGAGGACGGACGGGCUCCGCGGGCUGCAGAAGGGGCUCUCGGCUGGGCUGAUGUACCAGGGUCUGAUGAACGGCGUGAGGCUGGGCUUCUACUCCUACUGUGACACCGUGGGGGUCACUGCAGCCCCUGGAGGGAGUCUGAUGUCAGGGGCCGUGGCCGGGGCUCUGGGGGCCUUCAUCGCCUCUCCUGCCUAUCUGGUGAAGACACAUCUGCAGGCCCAGACAGUCGAGGCCAUCGCAGUGGGUCACCAGCACAACCAUCAGGGUGUGUCGAGUGCCUUCGCCAAUAUCUACCGGCGGGAGGGGGUGGUGGGGCUGUGGAGGGGUGUGAACGGAGCUGUGCCUCGAGUGAUGGUGGGAUCAGCCGCCCAACUGGCCACCUUCAGCUCCGCCAAGGAAUGGGUGGCACGCCUACAGUGGUACAGUCCAAACAGCUGGCUGGUUGCCUUGACAGCUGCCUGUAUCAGUGGAGUCGCCGUGACGAUCACCAUGACGCCGUUUGACGUCAUCAGCACACGCCUCUACAACCAGCCAGUGGAUGAGCGUCAUAGGGGUCGUCUGUACCUGGGCUUCUCAGACUGUCUGGUGAAGGUGUGCCGGACAGAGGGUCUUCUGGGGCUGUAUAAAGGUCUAGUUGGUGCAUGUGUAAUCUCAGCGCUCCAUAAUCUUAUGAGAGUUCAGUUAUUCAAUCAAGCAUCCAGGAUGUCCUCCCAGGCAGCACCCGGCUGAUGCUGGUCCGGUGUUGGUUCUCAGGGGCUGUCCAGGGGCUGUGCUCUGAGCUGCAGUCUCCACUUUCUCCAAGAGGGGGCUCUACACUGCUGUCUCAGCCUCCUGGCCUCCGUUGGCUGCUGACGGGUCACUGCCAACUUCUCUGGUGCCAUGUCUCUAGGCUCUACACCCGUCACAGCUUUGAAUGCUACUUUUCGUUCUGCAUCACCCUCCUGACCUCCGGCCGCUCUCCUUGCUGUGGAGAGCCGUUGUCCUGGCCUUCGGCCCGGUCUCGCCACAGUGCACCACCACGUCCAGUCAGAGGGGAGUCUCUGAAGUUCUGGGCGCCGCUGAACAUGUGCUACAUCCUGUUGGCGGUCUAAGUCCAAGGGGAUGGAUCAAUCAGAACUUGAUUUCCAUUCAAUCUUAGCAGGCAAAGAAUGAGUUGAAUCAGUCAACUGAGAGCAGUAGCACCAAAAAUAGAAUCGCCUCUUAGAAACGUAAAGAUCGGGGUCUUGUUCAGUACAUUUACAUUUACAUUUAAGUCAUUUAGCAGACGCUCUUAUCCAGAGCGACUUACAAAUUGGAGGGCAGAAAACAUUUAAAAACUGAGUGAAAUGACGGGAAGUACGACCUCAAUUUGGCCAAUAAGAACACAGAUUUUCAUUUUCAGUCAAUGUUUUGCUCCAGUGUACACUACUGAACAUGACCCUAGUAGCGUCACAUUUGUUAAUUGAACUUCUCUAUUGUCCUCCACAGAGGAGCAGCACUGCUGCCCGGGUAGUGAGGCCCUACUGCACACAGUGGCCCUGUGUAUGGGGACCCUGCUGGUGCUCAUGCUGACGGUAGGCCGCUAGACUGACAUGCUCCUCAUCCUCGUCACCUUCCUGGGGGGAGGCUGUCUGCCUGCUGCCCUCUCAGGUACUCCCUAAGUUCUGCCCCAGGAGGGAGCAGAAGACAUUCACAAGCAGAUCUGUCUGGCAUUCCAGAAGCCUGUCAUCAGACAGCGACACACAGAAAGACUAUCAGGCUGCAGAAUACCACAACACAGACCAGUUACUGUUUCACUCUACCUCAGACAAAAUACACUUUUACCUCAAAUACAGCCAUCUACUGGCCUGUCUCACUCAGUGAUACUGUUGAAAUCCAAUACUGUCACCGUUUACAUAGACAUGUUAAGCUUUGAUGUGGCGCAGCGGUCUGAAGCACUGCAUUUCAGUGCCAGAGGCGUCACUACAGACACCCUGGUUCGAUUCCAGGCUGUAUCACAACC
This is an RNA transcript of Salvelinus namaycush (lake trout), 3038 nucleotides long. It is a transcript of the gene named solute carrier family 25 member 34, with no coding region annotated. The transcript has 9 exons. NCBI's taxonomy places the organism in Eukaryota, Metazoa, Chordata, Actinopteri, Salmoniformes, Salmonidae. The record is from RefSeq and is a predicted model, not a curated record.